CGUAGGGUGCGAGCGUUAAUCGGAAUUACUGGGCGUAAAGCGUGCGCAGGCGGUUUUGUAAGACAGGCGUGAAAUCCCCGGGCUCAACCUGGGAACUGCGCUUGUGACUGCAAGGCUAGAGUACGGCAGAGGGGGGUGGAAUUCCACGUGUAGCAGUGAAAUGCGUAGAGAUGUGGAGGAACACCAAUGGCGAAGGCAGCCCCCUGGGUCGAUACUGACGCUCAUGCACGAAAGCGUGGGUAGCAAACAGGAUUAGAUACCCUGGUAGUCCACGCCCUAAACGAUGUCAACUAGGUGUUGGGUGGGUAAAACCAUUUAGUACCGGAGCUAACGCGUGAAGUUGACCGCCAGGGGAGUACGGCCGCAAGGUUA
This 372-nucleotide ribosomal RNA is filed under the name uncultured organism. RNAcentral describes it as "bacterial SSU rRNA". It matches the Rfam family "Bacterial small subunit ribosomal RNA", at positions 526 to 896 of the family's 1533-position model. The record is from RNAcentral.